UUCGCAAUGCCCGAAAGGGUGACGAUGCGACGCCGCGUGAGCGAAGAGGGCCCUAGGGUUGUAAAGCUCUGUCGAGGGUUAUGAAAUAUAGAUGGGUUAAUACCCCAUUUAUUUGACAAAAGCCCAAAAGGAAGCCACGGCUAACUCUGUGCCAGCAGCCGCGGUAAUACAGAGGUGGCGAGCGUUGUUCGGUAUUAUUGGGCGUAAAGAGCACGUAGGUGGUUUUGUAAGUCAGGUGUGAAAGCCUUCUGUUCAAAGGAAGAACGGCAUCUGAAACUGCAGAUCUUGAGUGUAGGAGGGGAGAGUGGAACUUCUGGUGGAGCGGUGAAAUGCGUAGAUAUCAGAAGGAACGUCGGCGGCGAAAGCGACUCUCUGGCCUAUUACUGACACUGAGGUGCGAAAGUUAGGGGAGCAAACGGGAUUAGAUACCCCGGUAGUCCUAACCGUAAACGAUGGGCACUAAGUAGAGGGGUUUU
RNAcentral lists this ribosomal RNA (476 nucleotides) under uncultured anaerobic ammonium-oxidizing bacterium. RNAcentral describes it as "bacterial SSU rRNA". It matches the Rfam family "Bacterial small subunit ribosomal RNA", at positions 365 to 832 of the family's 1533-position model. The record is from RNAcentral.